UGGGGAAUUUUGGACAAUGGGCGAAGCCUGAUCCAGCCAUGCCGCGUGCAGGAUGAAGGCCUUCGGGUUGUAAACUGCUUUUGUACGGAACGAAAAGACUCUGGUUAAUACCUGGGGUCCAUGACGGUACCGUAAGAAUAAGCACCGGCUAACUACGUGCCAGCAGCCGCGGUAAUACGUAGGGUGCAAGCGUUAAUCGGAAUUACUGGGCGUAAAGCGUGCGCAGGCGGUUAUAUAAGACAGAUGUGAAAUCCCCGGGCUCAACCUGGGAACUGCAUUUGUGACUGUAUAGCUAGAGUACGGCAGAGGGGGAUGGAAUUCCGCGUGUAGCAGUGAAAUGCGUAGAUAUGCGGAGGAACACCGAUGGCGAAGGCAAUCCCCUGGGCCUGUACUGACGCUCAUGCACGAAAGCGUGGGGAGCAAAACAGGAUUAGAUACCCUGGUAGUCCACGCCCUAAACGAUGUCAACUGGUUGUUGGGUCUUCACUGACUCAGUAACGAAGCUAACGCGUGAAGUUGACCGCCUGGGGAGUACGGCCGCAAGGUUGAAACUCAAAGGAAUUGACGGGGGUCAUAGCU
Molecule: ribosomal RNA, 579 nt
Filed under: uncultured bacterium
Lineage: Bacteria
Description: partial 16S ribosomal RNA
Rfam family: Bacterial small subunit ribosomal RNA
Source: RNAcentral